UGGUGAUAGUCAUACAAGAAAUUCUUCUUCGCAGUCUUCCAGCUCUGAAAGAACAGCAAAGCUCUUUUUGAUAGCAAGGGUCAUAAAUAUGGAAUCAAACGGAAAUCCCUUGAUGGAAAGAAAAUUACAUGGAGAUGUACAGUCCGUUGGGAGAAAGAAAACUGUCCAGGCAUUGUUAAAGAAGAGAAUGGGGUUUAUCGAGAAACUAUAAAACACACUUGCCAAAAGAAAAAAGACGUGCACGUACAGGCUAGAGUCUACUCAAAAUGUAAGGAGGAGAUACGGAAAAACCGACACGCAG
Molecule: long non-coding RNA, 301 nt
Organism: Daphnia pulicaria
Lineage: Eukaryota; Metazoa; Arthropoda; Branchiopoda; Diplostraca; Daphniidae
Exons: 3
Source: RefSeq, a predicted model, not a curated record